GAUGAACGCUGGCGGCGUGCCUAAUACAUGCAAGUCGAGCGAACGGACGCGAAGCUUGCUUUUCUGAUGUUAGCGGCGGACGGGUGAGUCACACGUGGAUAACCUACCUAUCAGACUGGGAUCACUUCGGGAAACCGGAGCUAAUACCGGAUAAUCUUUUGAACCGCAUGGUUCAAAAGUGAAAGACGGUCUUGCUGUCACUUAUAGAUGGAUCCGCGCUGCAUUAGCUAGUUGGUAAGGUAACGGCUUACCAAGGCAACGGUGCCUAGCCGACCUGUGGGGGGGUAGGCGGACAGAGAAGGUGAGCGGCGACCCUGAGACUUACGGGAGGCAGAGGUUGGGAAUCUUCGGCAAAGGGCGGAAGCCUGCAGGAGCAACGCAGCGUGAGUGAUGAAGGGCUUCGGGUGGUAAAACGCUGUUAGUGGGGAAGAACACAUGUGUAAGUAACGGUGCGCAUGUUGACGGUACCGAUACAGAAGGCCACGGCUAAUUAGGU
RNAcentral lists this ribosomal RNA (496 nucleotides) under uncultured bacterium. RNAcentral's name for it is "partial 16S ribosomal RNA". It matches the Rfam family "Bacterial small subunit ribosomal RNA", at positions 28 to 506 of the family's 1533-position model. The record is from RNAcentral.